UGGGGAAUAUUGCACAAUGGAGGGAACUCUGAUGCAGCGACGCCGCGUGAACGAAGAAGGCUUUCGAGUCGUAAAGUUCUUUUAUAUGGGAAGAUAAUGACGGUACCAUAAGAAAAAGCCCCGGCUAACUACGUGCCAGCAGCCGCGGUAAUACGUAGGGGGCUAGCGUUGUCCGGAAUCACUGUGCGUAAAGGGUUCGCAGGCGGAAAUGCAAGUCAGGUGUAAAAGGCAGUAGCUUAACUACUGUAAGCAUUUGAAACUGCAUAUCUUGAGAAGAGUAGAGGUAAGUGGAAUUUUUAGUGUAGCGGUGAAAUGCGUAGAUAUUAAAAAGAAUACCGGUGGCGAAGGCGACUUACUGGGCUCAUUCUGACGCUGAGGAACGAAAGCGUGGGUAGCAAACAGG
RNAcentral lists this ribosomal RNA (403 nucleotides) under bacterium. RNAcentral's name for it is "partial 16S ribosomal RNA". It matches the Rfam family "Bacterial small subunit ribosomal RNA", at positions 355 to 776 of the family's 1533-position model. The record is from RNAcentral. RNAcentral also lists the same sequence under 1 other name.